Molecule: small nuclear RNA, 106 nt
Filed under: Castor canadensis (American beaver)
Lineage: Eukaryota; Metazoa; Chordata; Mammalia; Rodentia; Castoridae
Source: RNAcentral
GUGCUCACCUCUGCAGCACAUAUACUAAAACUGGAAUGAUACAGAGAGGAUUAGUAUGACUCCUUGCGAGGAUGACAUGCAAAUUCAUGAAGCAGUCCAUAUCUUU